UAGGAAUAGUAUUUAAGGUCUAAUCUGCCCACUGAUUAUUUUAAUGGCCGCAGUAUUUUAACUGUGCAAAGGUAGCAUAAUCAUUAGUUUUUUAAUUGAAAGCUUGUAUGAAUGGUUGGACGAGAUAUAGUCUGUCUUUAAAUUAGAAUUAGAAUUUAAUUUUUAAGUUAAAAAGCUUAAAUGAAUUUAAAAGACGAGAAGACCCUAUAGAUCUUUAUAAAUAUAAAAAUUUAAUUUUUAAGGAUUAUUAAUUUUUGUAUUUUUUUAUUUAUUUAAUUGGGGUAAUAAAAAGAUUAAAUAAAUUCUUUUUAUUUUAAACGUUGAUAAAUGAUUUUAAUGAUCCAUUAUUAUUGAUUAUAAGAUUAAGUUACCUUAGGGAUAACAGCGUAAUUUUUUUUGAGAGUUCUUAUCGAUAAAAAAGUUUGCGACCUCGAUGUUGGAUUAAAAUAAAUUUUGGGUGUAGAAUUUCAAAAUUUUAGUCUGUUCGACUAUUAGGAUUUUACAUGAUCUGAGUUCAAACCGGUGUAAGCCAGGUUGGUUUCUAUCUUUAAUUAAUUAAUAUAUUUUAGUACGAAAGGACCAAAUAUUUGGUAUGUAAUAUUUUUAAAUUUGAAUAAGA
RNAcentral lists this ribosomal RNA (619 nucleotides) under Limbodessus wogarthaensis. RNAcentral's name for it is "partial 16S ribosomal RNA". The stretch from base 378 to 536 matches the Rfam family "Bacterial large subunit ribosomal RNA", at positions 2473 to 2632 of the family's 2925-position model. The record is from RNAcentral. Lineage: Eukaryota; Metazoa; Arthropoda; Insecta; Coleoptera; Dytiscidae.